Molecule: long non-coding RNA, 936 nt
Filed under: Falco tinnunculus (common kestrel)
Lineage: Eukaryota; Metazoa; Chordata; Aves; Falconiformes; Falconidae
Description: lncRNA (ENSFTIG00000000068.1)
Source: RNAcentral
GUAGCACGCAGUGGGUUUGGGACAGACGAGUCAUUUCAGUGCUUCCAGUUGAGAGCCGGGGGGCCGGACACGGAGGGCAGCAGGACGGACUGGGAGCGAGGAAGCGGAGCCGGAGCGAUUCCCCGACGCAGGUGAGAGGAAGAUGAAGGUCCUGUUGGCGCUGGCAGUGCUGUUCGCCUGCAGUGUGUUCACAGCUCGUGGAAAGUUCCCACGCGCACCAGGACUCGAGGGAAGCACCGUAGGAAACCUGACCGCCCACGGUUGCUACUCGGGAUGGGGCAGGAGUGGCAGAGCAAAGGCUUCCAUGGACCGGUGCUGCCUGCUCCGCGCCUGCUGCUACGCCAAGCUGGUGGCACGGCGGUGCCGCCUGGGACCGAUCCAGCCCCUCUCGGCGCCCCAGGCAGGAAUCCCCACCUGCAGGUCCGGGACCUGGUGCCAGAGAGGAGCGUGCAGAUGCGAGCGAGCAGCCUGGCUCUGCCAGAUGCGCGGCCGGGGUCUGCUCCGGCAUCGUAGCAAGUGCCGGGGACGUGCCGGGAGGUGUUGAAGGAAAAAGGCUCUGCAAAACCACCUCCAGGCUGAUAAGCAAAGGGCCAGCAGGGCGCUGGGAGCAUUUCCCAGCCCUGGCAGGUCUCCUCCUCGGGGCUUUUUGGCUUUGACAUCAGGACAACAACCCUCUUGUGAAGUUGCAUCAUUAUACACUGGAUGCGAGGGGGAAGAGCAGCACAGAUGCGAAGUUUCAGCACAGAAAAACAAGGGAGGGGUGGACACCUGCGACACAUCGCUGCAAAGGGCAAGAUGGAAGCCAACGCGAGCCUCUCCGCCGACACUCAUUUCCCCUUGGCUCGAGCUCCCCGUGCAGCCUGUCAGCUCCCUCUGCUUUUUGCUUCACCGCAGAUUCUCUUCUGUUGCUCCAAAAUAAAAGCAGAGAGCACAAAA